Molecule: transfer RNA, 87 nt
Filed under: Minisyncoccota bacterium
Lineage: Bacteria; Bacillati; Minisyncoccota
Description: tRNA-Leu
Rfam family: tRNA
About the family: Transfer RNA (tRNA) molecules are approximately 80 nucleotides in length. Their secondary structure includes four short double-helical elements and three loops (D, anti-codon, and T loops). Further hydrogen bonds mediate the characteristic L-shaped molecular structure. tRNAs have two regions of fundamental functional importance: the anti-codon, which is responsible for specific mRNA codon recognition, and the 3' end, to which the tRNAs corresponding amino acid is attached (by aminoacyl-tRNA synthetases). tRNAs cope with the degeneracy of the genetic code in two manners: having more than one tRNA (with a specific anti-codon) for a particular amino acid; and 'wobble' base-pairing, i.e. permitting non-standard base-pairing at the 3rd anti-codon position.
Source: RNAcentral
GCCCGGGUGGCGAAAUGGUUAACCGCGUUGGACUCAAAAUCCAAUGGUCGCAAGGCCUUGAGGGUUCGACUCCCUCCCUGGGCACCA